Molecule: ribosomal RNA, 2900 nt
Filed under: Klebsiella pneumoniae
Lineage: Bacteria; Pseudomonadati; Pseudomonadota; Gammaproteobacteria; Enterobacterales; Enterobacteriaceae
Description: bacterial LSU rRNA
Rfam family: Bacterial large subunit ribosomal RNA
Source: RNAcentral
UUAAGCGACUAAGCGUACACGGUGGAUGCCCUGGCAGUCAGAGGCGAUGAAGGACGUGCUAAUCUGCGAAAAGCGUCGGUAAGGUGAUAUGAACCGUUAUAACCGGCGAUGUCCGAAUGGGGAAACCCAGUGCAAUUCGUUGCACUAUCGUUAACUGAAUACAUAGGUUAACGAGGCGAACCGGGGGAACUGAAACAUCUAAGUACCCCGAGGAAAAGAAAUCAACCGAGAUUCCCCCAGUAGCGGCGAGCGAACGGGGAGCAGCCCAGAGUCUGAAUCAGCUUGUGUGUUAGUGGAACGGUCUGGAAAGUCCGACGGUACAGGGUGAUAGUCCCGUACACCAAAAUGCACAGGUUGUGAACUCGAAGAGUAGGGCGGGACACGUGGUAUCCUGUCUGAAUAUGGGGGGACCAUCCUCCAAGGCUAAAUACUCCUGACUGACCGAUAGUGAACCAGUACCGUGAGGGAAAGGCGAAAAGAACCCCGGCGAGGGGAGUGAAAAAGAACCUGAAACCGUGUACGUACAAGCAGUGGGAGCACCUUCGGGUGUGACUGCGUACCUUUUGUAUAAUGGGUCAGCGACUUAUAUUCUGUAGCAAGGUUAACCGUAUAGGGGAGCCGCAGGGAAACCGAGUCUUAACUGGGCGUUAAGUUGCAGGGUAUAGACCCGAAACCCGGUGAUCUAGCCAUGGGCAGGUUGAAGGUUGGGUAACACUAACUGGAGGACCGAACCGACUAAUGUUGAAAAAUUAGCGGAUGACUUGUGGCUGGGGGUGAAAGGCCAAUCAAACCGGGAGAUAGCUGGUUCUCCCCGAAAGCUAUUUAGGUAGCGCCUCGUGAAUUCAUCUUCGGGGGUAGAGCACUGUUUCGGCUAGGGGGUCAUCCCGACUUACCAACCCGAUGCAAACUACGAAUACCGAAGAAUGUUAUCACGGGAGACACACGGCGGGUGCUAACGUCCGUCGUGAAGAGGGAAACAACCCAGACCGCCAGCUAAGGUCCCAAAGUCAUGGUUAAGUGGGAAACGAUGUGGGAAGGCACAGACAGCCAGGAUGUUGGCUUAGAAGCAGCCAUCAUUUAAAGAAAGCGUAAUAGCUCACUGGUCGAGUCGGCCUGCGCGGAAGAUGUAACGGGGCUAAACCAUGCACCGAAGCUGCGGCAGCGACACUAUGUGUUGUUGGGUAGGGGAGCGUUCUGUAAGCCUGCGAAGGUGACCUGUGAGGGUUGCUGGAGGUAUCAGAAGUGCGAAUGCUGACAUAAGUAACGAUAAAGCGGGUGAAAAGCCCGCUCGCCGGAAGACCAAGGGUUCCUGUCCAACGUUAAUCGGGGCAGGGUGAGUCGACCCCUAAGGCGAGGCCGAAAGGCGUAGUCGAUGGGAAACAGGUUAAUAUUCCUGUACUUGGUGUUACUGCGAAGGGGGGACGGAGAAGGCUAUGUUAGCCGGGCGACGGUUGUCCCGGUUUAAGCAUGUAGGCUGAUUGUCCAGGCAAAUCCGGAUAAUCAAGGCUGAGGUGUGAUGACGAGGCACUACGGUGCUGAAGUAACAAAUGCCCUGCUUCCAGGAAAAGCCUCUAAGCAUCAGGUAACAUCAAAUCGUACCCCAAACCGACACAGGUGGUCAGGUAGAGAAUACCAAGGCGCUUGAGAGAACUCGGGUGAAGGAACUAGGCAAAAUGGUGCCGUAACUUCGGGAGAAGGCACGCUGGUGUGUAGGUGAAGCCCCUGCGGGUGGAGCUGAGACCAGUCGAAGAUACCAGCUGGCUGCAACUGUUUAUUAAAAACACAGCACUGUGCAAACACGAAAGUGGACGUAUACGGUGUGACGCCUGCCCGGUGCCGGAAGGUUAAUUGAUGGGGUUAUCCGUAAGGAGAAGCUCUUGAUCGAAGCCCCGGUAAACGGCGGCCGUAACUAUAACGGUCCUAAGGUAGCGAAAUUCCUUGUCGGGUAAGUUCCGACCUGCACGAAUGGCGUAAUGAUGGCCAGGCUGUCUCCACCCGAGACUCAGUGAAAUUGAACUCGCUGUGAAGAUGCAGUGUACCCGCGGCAAGACGGAAAGACCCCGUGAACCUUUACUAUAGCUUGACACUGAACAUUGAGCCUUGAUGUGUAGGAUAGGUGGGAGGCUUUGAAGCGUGGACGCCAGUCUGCGUGGAGCCAACCUUGAAAUACCACCCUUUAAUGUUUGAUGUUCUAACGUUGGCCCCUUACCGGGGUUGCGGACAGUGUCUGGUGGGUAGUUUGACUGGGGCGGUCUCCUCCCAAAGCGUAACGGAGGAGCACGAAGGUUAGCUAAUCCUGGUCGGACAUCAGGAGGUUAGUGCAAUGGCAUAAGCUAGCUUGACUGCGAGCGUGACGGCGCGAGCAGGUGCGAAAGCAGGUCAUAGUGAUCCGGUGGUUCUGAAUGGAAGGGCCAUCGCUCAACGGAUAAAAGGUACUCCGGGGAUAACAGGCUGAUACCGCCCAAGAGUUCAUAUCGACGGCGGUGUUUGGCACCUCGAUGUCGGCUCAUCACAUCCUGGGGCUGAAGUAGGUCCCAAGGGUAUGGCUGUUCGCCAUUUAAAGUGGUACGCGAGCUGGGUUUAGAACGUCGUGAGACAGUUCGGUCCCUAUCUGCCGUGGGCGCUGGAGAAUUGAGGGGGGCUGCUCCUAGUACGAGAGGACCGGAGUGGACGCAUCACUGGUGUUCGGGUUGUCAUGCCAAUGGCACUGCCCGGUAGCUAAAUGCGGAAGAGAUAAGUGCUGAAAGCAUCUAAGCACGAAACUUGCCCCGAGAUGAGUUCUCCCUGAGACUUUAAGUCUCCUGAAGGAACGUUAAAGACGAUGACGUUGAUAGGCCGGGUGUGUAAGCGCAGCGAUGCGUUGAGCUAACCGGUACUAAUGAACCGUGAGGCUUAACCUU